Pocillopora damicornis (cauliflower coral) is the source of this 355-nucleotide long non-coding RNA. The record is from RefSeq and is a predicted model, not a curated record. Lineage: Eukaryota; Metazoa; Cnidaria; Anthozoa; Scleractinia; Pocilloporidae.
AGAUUAUAAAACAACUUCUCUGUGGAAAUUUGCUCCAAGACAAGUUGUGAAAUUCUUACAGAAUAACAAUGCAGCAUUCAACAAUCACAAGAUAGGCAUCACACCACAGAAUUAUGUCAAGUACAGACGUCUAAAUGCUUUUUUCAGAAUCGUUUCAACCAGCAAAGAUCGCAACGGGGUUGAAUUUAUUUCAACUAUGGAAGGUAAGCGUUAUCCAGUCUACCUUUUACACUGGCACCCGGCUAAAUCCCAGUUUGAAUGGCGCAGAGAUAUGGAUAUUAAUCACUCGCUGGCAGAUGUUGUGUCAGGCCAGUAUUUCGCAAAUUUCCUAAUUCAAAAAGGUGAGCUUGAAAAU